Molecule: ribosomal RNA, 468 nt
Filed under: uncultured bacterium
Lineage: Bacteria
Description: partial 16S ribosomal RNA
Rfam family: Bacterial small subunit ribosomal RNA
Source: RNAcentral
GACGAACGCUGGCGGCGUGCUUAACACAUGCAAGUCGAACGGAAAGGCCCUGCUUUUGUGGGGUGCUCGAGUGGCGAACGGGUGAGUAACACGUGAGUCACCUGCCCUUGACUUUGGGAUAACUUCAGGAAACUGGGGCUAAUACCGGAUAGGAGCUCCUGCUGCAUGGUGGGGGUUGGAAAGUUUCGGCGGUUGGGGAUGGACUCGGGGGUUAUCAGCUUGUUGGUGGGGUAGUGGCUUACCAAGGCUUUGACGGGUAGCCGGCCUGAGAGGGUGACCGGCCACAUUGGGACUGAGAUACGGCCCAGAGUCCUACGGGAGGCAGCAGUGGGGAAUAUUGCACAAUGGGCGGAAGCCUGAUGCAGCAACGCCGCGUGCGGGAUGACGGCCUUCGGGUUGGAAACCGCUUUCGCCUGUGACGAAGCGUGAGUGACGGUAAUGGGUAAAGAAGCACCGGCUAACUACGUG